GAUAUAGUCGUCGAGAAAAUAUCGCAGACAAAAUAUCGUAUCAUAUAUCAUAUCGAAUAUAAGCAAUCGUAAUUCGUUUGUUAUUGUCACAGCUGACAGGUCUAAACAUGACCACAAAGUAUUGUAUGCUAUGCCGUUCGAGAACUACGGAAAAGAAUGUUUCAGUACCAAGAGAUGAAAGCAGAAGGGAGCUGUGGUCAAGGAGCUGUGGCGUUCAAUUUACGAGUUCGAGUAAAAUUUGUAGCAAACAUUUCAAGGACUCGGACUUUUUUUACUAUCCGUCCGAAAGCGCAACAAAGCGGAGACGACUGAUGCCAACUGCUGUACCGCAGAAUCAACGUGAGCAAGUUCUCACAGAGCACUUAAAAUCAGCUUGUGGGGACAAUGUUUGUGACUUCAACUCCCAAACUGACGAAGAAGUUGUGGAUUCUGGGCUUGCCAUAGACAAUUUAUGUUUGCAAAAGAAAGUUGCUGACUUGCAAAGGGAAAAAGCUAAGCUCCUUGAGCAAAUUGGGAAAACGCAGACGCUUAUUGAUUCCCUUAAUACCAUUUUCACCAAAUCGCAGAUCAGGAAACUUGAGAACGGCGGGAAAAGAGUUCAAUGGAAUCACGAUGACAUUUCAAAUGCGAUUUGUCUCCAUGCUGCUGGCCCCCGGGCGUAUCGCCACUUGAUCGAAAAGGGGUUUCCAUUUCCAUCCUUAUCCACUUUGGACAAAUGGUUAUGAAUCAAAAUAUUCUAAUUUCCUUAAAA
Molecule: long non-coding RNA, 751 nt
Organism: Drosophila miranda
Lineage: Eukaryota; Metazoa; Arthropoda; Insecta; Diptera; Drosophilidae
Exons: 3
Source: RefSeq, a predicted model, not a curated record